GACAAACGCUGGCGGCGUGCUUAACACAUGCAAGUCGAACGGAAAGGCCCUGCUUUUGUGGGGUGCUCGAGUGGCGAACGGGUGAGUAACACGUGAGUAACCUGCCCUUGACUUUGGGAUAACUUCAGGAAACUGGGGCUAAUACCGGAUAGGAGCUCCUGCUGCAUGGUGGGGGUUGGAAAGUUUCGGCGGUUGGGGAUGGACUCGCGGCUUAUCAGCUUGUUGGUGGGGUAGUGGCUUACCAAGGCUUUGACGGGUAGCCGGCCUGAGAGGGUGACCGGCCACAUUGGGACUGAGAUACGGCCCAGACUCCUACGGGAGGCAGCAGUGGGGAAUAUUGCACAAUGGGCGGAAGCCUGAUGCAGCAACGCCGCGUGCGGGAUGACGGCCUUCGGGUUGUAAACCGCUUUCGCCUGUGAUGAAGCGUGAGUGACGGUAAUGGGUAAAGAAGCACCGGCUAACUACGUG
RNAcentral lists this ribosomal RNA (468 nucleotides) under uncultured bacterium. RNAcentral describes it as "partial 16S ribosomal RNA". It matches the Rfam family "Bacterial small subunit ribosomal RNA", at positions 28 to 507 of the family's 1533-position model. The record is from RNAcentral.